UCCGGUUUGUCACCGGCAGUCUCGCAUGAGUCCCCAACUAAAUGCUGGCAACAUGCGACGGGGGUUGCGCUCGUUGCGGGACUUAACCCAACAUCUCACGACACGAGCUGACGACAGCCAUGCAGCGCCUGAACCAGAGGUCCCCGAAGGGAAAACUUUAUUUCUAAAGCGAUCCUCUGUUGUCUAGCCCGGGUAAGGUUCUUCGCGUUGCGUCGAAUUGAACCACAUGCUCCACCGCUUGUGCGGGCCCCCGUCAAUUUCUUUGAGUUUUAACCUUGCGGCCGUACUCCCCAGGCGGAUAACUUAACGCGUUAGCUGCGCCACCGAAGCUCUAAGAGCCCCGACAGCUAGUUAUCAUCGUUUACGGCGUGGACUAC
This 377-nucleotide unclassified non-coding RNA is filed under the name uncultured bacterium. RNAcentral's name for it is "contains 16S-23S intergenic spacer region". The record is from RNAcentral.